AGAAAAUCAUAUCAAACCGACGAUCAACAGAAACCAGAGGAACAAUCUAUCGUAUUAGAGAUUUUGAACCAAAUUUUCAAAUAGGAUCAACAACAACCAGAGGAACAAUCAAUCGUAAGACAGAUUUUGAAUCAAAUUUUAAAUUAGUGUAAAUGACAUGUUGUCUUAGUUAAAUCCGUCAAAGCAAUAACUGACAAGCGAGAAAAAAAAAAAAGGGAGGAGGAGUUAAUUGACUACAAAAUUUUAACGAUCUGAUAUUCUUUUUCUCGGGAAACAAACAGUAAGACAGUAAAGAGAAAACAAACAAACCUUCAAGUCCAGACGCUUUUCCCAGCCAGUUGGAACCUGCAAGUCCAAGUCAAGUUCCUGAGAUUCAUCCUUCAAAGACUCAUCGGUACCAUCAGUACCGCCGAGCAGGUCUCGAGUGAUCAACGCCGUCGAUUUUCCACCACUAGAUUCAUUCCCGACCGUCCGAUCCUCCUUGUAGCCAUUGACUACUCGAACCAGAGAGCUAACCUCGGCGGCCAUGUCAAGAGAGUAGCUCCGGGAGAGAAACAGAGGAGGAGGGUUAAACAGGUGGUGUUAUAUGGUAUUAAAUAGAGCAAUAUGUACAUGUGUGAGGCACAUUUAAGCGAUUUAAUACAGACCGUUAU
This 653-nucleotide long non-coding RNA is filed under the name Carica papaya (papaya). RNAcentral's name for it is "long non-coding RNA (CPAP_LNC014157)". The record is from RNAcentral. Lineage: Eukaryota; Viridiplantae; Streptophyta; Magnoliopsida; Brassicales; Caricaceae.